RNAcentral lists this ribosomal RNA (492 nucleotides) under uncultured bacterium. RNAcentral's name for it is "partial 16S ribosomal RNA". It matches the Rfam family "Bacterial small subunit ribosomal RNA", at positions 29 to 507 of the family's 1533-position model. The record is from RNAcentral.
AGUGAACGCUGGCGGUAGGCCUAACACAUGCAAGUCGAACGGCAGCACAGUAAGAGCUUGCUCUUACGGGUGGCGAGUGGCGGACGGGUGAGGCAUACAUCGGAAUCUACUUUUUCGUGGGGGAUAACGUAGGGAAACUUACGCUAAUACCUCAUACGACCUACGGGUGAAAGCAGUGGAUCUUCGGACCUUGCGCGAUUGAAUGAGCCGAUGUCGGAUUAGCUAGUUGGCGGGGUAAAGGCCCACCAAGGCGACGAUCCGUAGCUGGUCUGAGAGGAUGAUCAGCCACACUGGAGCUGAGACACGGUCCAGACUCCUACGGGAGGCAGCAGUGGGGAAUAUUGGACAAUGGGCGCAAGCCUGAUCCAGCCAUACCGCGUGGGUGAAGAAGGCCUUCGGGUUGUAAAGCCCUUUUGUUGGGAAAGAAAAGCAGCAGGUUAAUACCCCGCUGUUCUGACGGUACCCAAAGAAUAAGCACCGGCUAACUUCGUG